This 408-nucleotide ribosomal RNA is filed under the name bacterium. RNAcentral's name for it is "bacterial SSU rRNA". It matches the Rfam family "Bacterial small subunit ribosomal RNA", at positions 354 to 776 of the family's 1533-position model. The record is from RNAcentral.
GUGGGGAAUAUUGGGCAAUGGGCGCAAGCCUGACCCAGCAACGCCGCGUGAAGGAAGAAGGUCUUCGGAUUGUAAACUUCUGUCAUUGGGGACGAAGGAAGUGACGGUACCCAAUGAGGAAGCCCCGGCUAACUACGUGCCAGCAGCCGCGGUAAUACGUAGGGGGCGAGCGUUGUCCGGAAUUACUGGGCGUAAAGGGUGCGUAGGCGGCGAUGCAAGUCCAUUGUGAAAAGCCCGGGCUUAACCUGGGAGGUGCAGUGGAAACUGCAUGGCUUGAGUGCAGGAGAGGAAAGUGGAAUUCCUAGUGUAGCGGUGAAAUGCGUAGAUAUUAGGAGGAACACCAGUGGCGAAGGCGGCUUUCUGGACUGUAACUGACGCUGAGGCACGAAAGCGUGGGGAGCAAACAGG